GGGAGGGUGGUCUAGCUUGGUAUGAUUCCUGGUUUGGGACCAGGUGGCCGGGGGUUCGAAUCCCCCCUCUCCCA
Molecule: transfer RNA, 74 nt
Filed under: Candidatus Bathyarchaeota archaeon
Lineage: Archaea; Thermoproteati; Candidatus Bathyarchaeota
Also listed under: 5 other names
Description: tRNA-Pro
Rfam family: tRNA
About the family: Transfer RNA (tRNA) molecules are approximately 80 nucleotides in length. Their secondary structure includes four short double-helical elements and three loops (D, anti-codon, and T loops). Further hydrogen bonds mediate the characteristic L-shaped molecular structure. tRNAs have two regions of fundamental functional importance: the anti-codon, which is responsible for specific mRNA codon recognition, and the 3' end, to which the tRNAs corresponding amino acid is attached (by aminoacyl-tRNA synthetases). tRNAs cope with the degeneracy of the genetic code in two manners: having more than one tRNA (with a specific anti-codon) for a particular amino acid; and 'wobble' base-pairing, i.e. permitting non-standard base-pairing at the 3rd anti-codon position.
Source: RNAcentral